RNA transcript from Trichoplusia ni (cabbage looper), 8451 nucleotides. RefSeq lists it as uncharacterized. NCBI's taxonomy places the organism in Eukaryota, Metazoa, Arthropoda, Insecta, Lepidoptera, Noctuidae. The record is from RefSeq and is a predicted model, not a curated record. The transcript has 2 exons.
GAGUUGUGGGCGUUGUGGCUGAGGAAAUUGUUUUGGUAAUUUUAUUAAGUACUUAUGCUUUGUUGAGAGCACAGUGUAAAUACUUUUUCGGGUGCUGGUUUGCUGACAAGCACUUUAUGUAUACCUAAUCUUUUGGUAUCGUGGGCUGGACCCCUAGCAAUUAUCAGGAAUCAGAUUUUCCUAGAUUUUAUUUUUGUCUUUUGGAAUUGCGUCACUGAACCCAGACAAUUUAACCUAAAUUGGAAAUAGAGCAAAUGGCUCUCGAUCACCAUUUUGUGACCUUAGCAUUAAGCAAGUGUUUCCUUUUUGUUUUGUUUUACAGAUUAUUUCACAAGAAACGUUCAAGUUCGUAUAUACUGCGCUAGUUUAGAUUUUCGUAGAAACUGUAAAUAUUACUUUUAGUUAACAAAGCACUGACGUGAAUUAGGCUAAGCAUAAUACACCGUAUUAGCGUUUCAGCCAAAUCUCUGAGAAUUGAGACGUUCAGCCGAUAGCCAUUUUGCGGUACCCAGAAUGUAAACAGACCGUGUCUGCGUGCAUCUGUGCAACUUGGGCUGUUGCCGUCCCUGUCGCUCGCACCCAGCAGUAUGUAGGUCACCGAGGAGCUUAUCGGUCACAGGUCACCUGUCUCGCUCGCACGCCGUGAGCCUGUGCACUAGCCCCAGUGUUGUAUGAGACGCCGCGGGGCGCGCACGUCUCCCGUGAUAUGAGCCCGCGCAUGCGUACAAACGUAUUACGUACAGUGUAAUCAGCUGAUUGUCAUUGUUUUCUAUAUUAUUAUUUUCAAUUGUGAUCUCAGUGCUGUGAUAUAAAGAUGGGUCAGGCGUUCGGUACGACGAAUUCGCACAAUGACGAGCAGAGACAUUAUACCAGAAAAGAAAUAGGUAAGAACAGUCGGACGCAGGAGCGUGAGUAGCGACGCGAAUUACAUCACGGCCCACUCAUAUCUCAUGCAAUUUACAACUUUAUUGCAUGAUAGUAAUAAAGUCCUAAUUUAUCUACCUUACACAAGUUCCUUACUACCUUUAUUGUCAAUUUGUACAUUCCUUUGAAAUAAACUCGUAGGUUACAAAAAGGUUAUGAGGUCAAAGGGAAAAUCACUCCAAAAUUCUUGGAUGUCUCCUUUGUUACCUUUCAGGUAAUGAAAGAUAUCAUUUCAUAUUCAGGAAUAUUUGUUAAAUCAUAAGCAUGUUACAUUUGUAAUAUUCGAAACAAUUUCGUUUGAUCAAAACAGUAUCGUUCGGAAAAUUUGAUAUGAUCUGCAAAGCUGUUUUAUAUAAUAUUUAAAUGUGAAACAAUGCAGUUAUCAAAAGUGAGCACGUAGUAACCCUCACAGCCGGCAGGGUAUCGAACCCCGCCGGGGUGCCAGCGCGGUUGGCAGGCGACUGCGACAGUUUGGCAUCCCGCCGGCUCGCCGUGCCAGCCCUAGGCUAGCUUAUUGCAUUCCCCGGCGCACAACUAUGCUCGUCGAUGCACUAACCUUAUACGCUGAUGCAUCGCGCAAACUGCUAUUAUGACAGUUAUUUUAUUAAACUUUACAUAUUUAAUCCAAGUUGACAAUUUCAUUUAGAAAUACUUUGUUUAUAUGCAAAACUUUUAACUUCUAUCAAUUUGAAUUCGUCCAUUUUGAAUUUAAUUUCAUUUGACUUGUGCAACCUAAAUACGUAGAACAAGAGAAGGUUGUUUUCAAAUAAAUUACUCAAAACUCACGUGUUUUUAAACAAGACUCUAUGACGUUUAAGACAUAUUAAUAGAUUCAGUGCUGUCAAGAGUAAAUAAUACAAUAUAAGUUUGCGUGUCCGUCGUGUUAGCAGACUGGCAACUGUCAAUAACCGUCCGGAGCGUACGUGUGACAUUGACACAGUGACUAUUGUAGAGCUAACUCGAUGCUGUUCAAAACGUCUAUAAAAAAUCAGUCAGUCAGUCAUGUUCGAGUCGGACUCGCCACGCCGAAAGUUCUGUACAAAUAAUACAAAGAGGUUUAUACCCGUGAAAAAAAAAAUGGUCCUCCGACAUAUUUCUGAAUAUGCCAAAUGUUGCUUAACUUAAUAGCCCUUUAUAAUUAACACCAACUGUACUGCACUGCUCAGUACCUACAGGUGAAGUCAGUGAGAUUAGUGUCAGCUAUUCUAGUUGAUUACAUUCAGGUGGACUCGUCCAUUUAUCACGGCGUCAAACGAAUGGAGUCUUCCUCGCAAUUAGGUUUGAUAAUCGCAUCACCUGACGCGUGGAAGCCUGAUAAAUCAUGGACAAGGCUAGCGUUGUUUUUAAAUAGCUAACGAGGAAAAUUUAUAACAGCGCCGCUGCCUUUGAGAUUAAAAAUAUUUAUAAUUCUAUUGUUGGAGAGCUCUUUGAGUUGUGAAUAGUCGGUCGAGAAAUAUAGCCUUUAGGAGAAAUUAAUAAGAGAACGUGAACUAAAACUAGGUAUCGUUUUGUCCAUUGUAAUUUUUUUAUCACCCAUAAUUAUUGAAACAUUUUUAAUCAGUGUUAUUAGUAUGCUAUAGCUUUAAAUUCUAAUUGUUUUAAUAAAUAAAUUAUGUGAACGAGACCGUUUAUAUCCUCCCAAUGUAACAACCCUACAAGAGUACUUCGAAGUUAGUUCUUAGAUGACUUAGGGUCAGGCACUUUUGGCACAGACACCCUUAAACUGAAGCUAUUUUAUGUAAUGUUUUUGUAGAUAUCGCUCGAUAGAACGGUGUUAGGCAGAAUUUCCUAAAGUGGAAAUUGAGUAUUAGAAGGCAAGAUAUUAGUACUUUUCCAAUCCUUUCUUGUAAUAAUAUGCCAAUGUUAAACAAUUAGAACCGUAUUAGAUCCGUAUCAGCCCGUCUCAAUGCUUGCCCUAUACUCGCACAAUAAGAAAAAACGGCGUAAUGCUAAUGAAUACAGAUGUUCAGAGGAAAUAGCGCGAUAGUGUGCCCGACAUCCCUAUGCACGUGUGAAUUGAAAUAUGGUGCAGGAAACAGGAAUGUGUAUCGAUCGUGCCUUUCCGUAGCUUUGUGCUCUCUCAAAUAGUUCUGCAACUGUGUAAAACGUUAAAAUAGGUUAUGUGCGAGUAUUCGUGUUCAGAACUAUUGUUCAAUGUUCAGAUUGUGACUUAAUGACCAAACAGCACAUUCAUUUAAUCUGAAUGAAUGUUUCCGUGAAAUAUUAUCAGGCAUGAUUCAUAGGAAAACAGAUUAAAACCUUAGUUCCAGGAACUGAGCAGGAAAACAAAGUGUCUUUAACAUUAUUCAGAAACAAAAAGCUGAACGAGCACCGAGCAUCUUUCUUCAUCAAAAUUAAACGCUUUUAAUCAAACUCGCUCUCAAAACACACUUUUCCGAACCAUUAAAAAGAAUAACAACGCUCAGAAUACGCGGGAACUCAAGAAAAAUACAGCCAUUAUGGGAGCACUCCCCAUAAUAGAUUCACGCGACUCUGCCCACCGCACCGCACCGCGCGCGCUGGCUCCAUCCUUCAAACCAUCAGCAGCAGGGCAUUAUUUUUAAGUUUUCCACUUAUUUGUCUUUCAGCAGUCUCCCAGGAUUUACGAUCUUGCCCGCCCGUUUGGAAAUCUGUAAAUAAUCUAACUUUUCGCCCCAGCUAUUUCGCUGUCAUUCGAGAGAAGUCUUAUUAAAUAAGUUUAAGGCACUCCUUAUAGUUAAAGAAUUAAGUAUGUUGCCUUUUUGUUGUUCGCCUUUGUUGACUUUGGGGCUUACGUUCAUGUUUUGUGUGCAGCCCUUUGAUGUGUGGUUAUUAAAAGUUCGCCUUGUUAUUAUUUACCUUGUAUUUUAUUUGUGCACGAAUGUGGAAUCGCUACGGUGCUGACAAUGGUGGCAGAGUUGCGUUGUUUCUUAUUCUUACUCAACUCUGUUGUUUCAUUUAUGUUCUGAAUUGCUUUUGCAUUUGAUAACUUUCCAAGAUUAGAAAAUGUCGUUGCUUAAAUUCUACAAUAGUUACGAAAUAAACUCCAUGUACGUGAAAAUCUCAUUAACAUUCGCAUAAAUGUAUUAAUAACUCCAUGCUCGUUAAACAUAAGAUUAGCACAAACUUAGUGAAAUUCCAAUAGUAUUACAGCGACGGAAAUAGUUUUGGUAGGUAUUUCAACCGAAAUAGUUACAUCUUCAACUAACUUUGUAUUUGCUUAAUAAUUGUGUGUGAUCUCGGUGAUGACGCGGAGAUGUGACGCUAACUAAAUAUUGACAAUUGUUGCCCUUGUAGGGAUGUUAAACUCAUUAGUGGCUGAGUUCCGCAGUAUAUUAUGAUUAAUAUACAUUUUUAAAGUAAAUUUUCGUAUUGUCAUGUUUCAAACCAAUUGUUCAGUUUCACAUUUUCCACACACGUUUUAUUUUGUUGUUGCGACUCUACAUUCGCAAUCAACAACCGUCACUUUGGAGUGCUUCACACUAAAAGCCUCAAAAAGCUCGGACUGAUGAAACUCACUAAUUUAUUGGACACACGAGGCUUCGCGUAAUAUUGCCGGCUUAAGUUUAAUGUUUACCUUUCUUUCAUUCUAACACGACUGUAUUUCGUGAAGAAAAAGUAGCAUUGAUGUAAGAACAUCAUUACUGGUAGUUUAAAGUCAUUUGUGUAAGUGACAACCCUUGUGUACUCUUGUAGUGACGUCAUUGCCUCGCCACUAGUGCUGUGCUGCUCACAAACAAACCAAUUGGUUUGCAGACAUGUCGAACCGAGCGCGGGAUUAUGACUCGCACAUUUUCGAUAUUCGAGUAACUACCGCGAAAACAAUCGCUUGUUAUAAAUGUAAAUUGUUGUGAAUUGUGUCACUUACCUGCAGAUUCGGAAUUUCCUAGUUCUCUGUUUGGUGCGUUACUCAUAACAGGUUAUAUCGGAAAGUUGCUCUACUAUGUUUUCAGGGUUAUAUGGACUGAAUAAAAGAGAUUUGUAAAAUCUUAUGUGAAAAAUUGCUCAGGUGCCGAUUUUUAUGAAAAUCCGCACACAUUUUUUCUUUAGCAUAAAUAUGAGAAAAGUAAUUCUGUCUUGUCUCGGUAAACGUAAUUAAUUAUAGCCUGGACUAGUGUGCAGCGUAGGUCAAGCGAAGUAAUUAGAUUUUAUUGUUCCGUAGCUAGAUCUAAAUUACACCCGAGUACUAGAGGUUACUUGCAGACGUUUGUAGCUAAAUGGCUAGAGCUGGCGAUCGAUUGGAUUGCGAGGUUAAGCCGCUUUCGUAGCGGUCGCCACUUUGAUAGGUCAACUCUUUUUACUGAGAUACCAAUUAUGUAAAUAUAUGUAGAUAAUCUCUACGGACUUUAUUUUAAGAUUUAUAAGAAGACUGCUGGGAAAAGGUCUUCUAUAUUUCUGUCUGCUCAGAGUAACUUUUACAAAAAUACUAAGUGCAGCUUGAAACAUCGUUUUUGAGUUUAGCAUUUAAUAUCUUACAUUAUUCGUAAGUAUAAAUCAUAACUUACGAAGGUCGCUUCUUAAAACAUUAAUUGACGUCGAUCCGAACAUUAUUCGUAUCAUUAAACAAUAAUUAUGUAGAUCUCUCCAUACAUUACGGACGUGUACACAGAAUCCGGCUUCAAUAAGGAAUCACUCGAUUCCGAGAAUGACUCGUUUGGAUUUCCAAGAAAUUUUACUGAAAAUUAACUGUGAUUUACUACAAUACAGAUUUUUUAUUUUAUUAAGUCAAGUUAGAAUACUAUCCAAAUGGGUUAACUAAACAUUUCAUGACAUAGCUUAAUAAAUCAUUGGCGAUAUAAUGUGUAAUAUUUAAUUAAUAAGCUGGUAUGUGCAGAGGUGCUUCGAACCUGAAGGAAUUUAUUGAUUUUGAUGUCGCAAAUUAAUUGCUCACUUAAUAUGUGGGAGAGUAAAACAUACUUCCUUUUAUCACGUAGGUUCAACUACCAUACUUUAAAAACGUUGUUAACUUGGUGUUAAAUGUGCUUCACCAAGAAACGUACAUUUCGCAAGAAACUAACUAAAUUCCCGCUAACUGCACCUUUGUUUUAAUUAAAUAUUAUUCGCGAGAGAAAAACGCGUCUUGUCCCGGCGAAUAUAUUUUAUCCUUAAAGGCUCGUUGUGUAAAUGCACCCCCUUACCUUGGUUCCUGGUUUUCCCGCGGCGGCGGCGGCCGGCGUGCUCCCUGCCGCCUGCCGGCCGCGGCAGUCGCCGUCGGGCGCUGGUCGCGGCCGGUCGCGUCGCCGCGCUAACCCCCGCCGCUCCGAACACAAACCUCCUACUGUAACAGAGGGCGUCAUCACAAUCAUCUCGAAUCGCGCGCUAUUAAGGUUCCCCAACAAUACUAUUGUCAACUUCCAGUGUAUGUUUAUUAUUAUGCAUUACUAAACUGGCUGUGGUUUUAUGAAUCGUUAAACGGUUGAGUGCCAGGUAUAAAGGGACUGUAUUAAUCACUACAUAAGCUUGUAAAGGCAUUAUUAAGUUACGUAUUUACUAAUGUGAGUUUGAUUAACAACGGCAUCGCAACAACACAAAGACACUCGAGAACUUUGUUCAAGUUUUGAUAAAUUUUCCUCUACAUUGUAAUUUGUUUUAAGUUUGACUACUUCAAGCUAAUUAACUGUCAAAAAAACUAUGAAUCUUCGUGCAAAAAAACUUGCGUUAUAAUAUUAAGUUUUUUUAAACUCGAAUUGACCUUACAACAGCGUAUAAAUGGUAUAAAGUAAUGCGACCUAAGUGUCGGAAUGACCUCAAACAAAACAUUCCGAAAGAAAGUACAAACAGUUUAAUUAAAAACUCCACAAUGGUAUUGUAAGUGGCAUUUUCGUAAAAACUGUCUCAAGGAGACUCGUCAGGAACCCGGAAAUAUAAUAAUAUCGCGUUUUGGUCGUUGUUAUUGCAGGAAUUUCCUUGAUGCGUCGCUCCCGACGUUUUUCGCAGUAAAAUCUUCGAUAUUCACUCGUCGAGUUUUAUCGAUGCAUAAAACAUUUGAUUGUUGCUCAUAAGAAGCUGAAAGUUAUUUAUUUUUAUGCUCCUACGUGUUUAAAACACAGAAAUGCUUGUUUCACGUUUUAGUGGGUGCAAGACAGCACUUGCUUUUGUUUUUAUGGUUUCUUACUGAAAUUUCCUUAAACUCUCUGACCACUUAAGAGCUUAUAUUGAAGUUCCUAAAGUAAGGUUAGAAGUGACCUCAAUAUUUCUGUGAGUCUUCAUCUAUAUUUUGCUCCACUUGGUGUAAUGGAACAGCUCAGUUUUGAACAUCUUGCACAUCCUUCCUUUGUUCUCAGUACGAUUGUCACUUUUCAUUGUCUUUCCGACAUCCUUUGCAUGGACAAUGUUUUCCCCUUCAGUUUUAGCAAAUAUAGUUUCAUUGUGAACCUGUUGACAAUUACCCUUAUGUGCUGUAGUUUCUUUGACGUGGAAAUCAAUCCUGACACCAUAUUUUUAGUGCUGAAAAAUAGAAAGAACUUUAACAAUGCAACUUCCUUAUCUAAACUGCGUUGAAUAGUGGACUUAUGAUACUCUUAAUCAAUGAAGUCUGUAGAGACUGCAGUAAUCAGCUGAGCACAGAAAGCCGACACUUACGUAAAAACUAAUAUUUGACGACCUGAUUGGCUCAGUGCCUAAACGUUCUAAGCUAAACGCUACGGCUUCAAUUUGAUCCUUUGAUUAAUCGCGUUUGGCAAACAUUGCCAUGAACAAGUCAAUUUACCUUUCGCUGCUUAUAAACAAAGUAUUUACUGUUAAGAUUUCUCCAUUCCUAAUUUAGUACUCUUUUUUGGGCACUCAUUCUCUUUCCAGUGAUUUCGUGUACAGCUAUUUGUAAAACUUCAAAAUAUCAAAAUAGAAUCAACCAUCACAACUGAAAUGUCUUUAUAAACAAUAACCAGUUUGCACAUGACGGACACACAAAGGCUUCAGCCGCUGAAUCCAUUAAAACAUAUAAACAACAAGAGCUCGAAACAAGAGUUUCGCGUAACAAGUGAGUCGUACUCGGAGUACCCGGCGUGCCCGGAGUACACGCACACAGACACACGUGCAUUGUAGGCGCGGGGUCGUUGCCCCAAGGUGUCGUUCCGUGUCUUUAUUUCCGGAUCCGGUGGCGCUGCCGCCGGGUACGGACCGCAUCCGGCGCCGGAUAGUUUCCGCCGUUAUCACACACCGCAUAGAUACGAAAAAAAUAGUUUCAUAAAUAAUUGUGAACCUUUGAAGGUUUCACGGAGAUAUUUCAGUUUUUUUCCAUAUUCAAUGUAAAAAGGUUUUGUUAUUCUCUCGUCUGUAGACACGAAAACUUUGAGCAGACAUAAUAUAUUUAAGAUGGGAAUAUUUAUAUAUUCGCAUUUAUAAAGUAGCUGUAACUAAAGGUAAUGUAAAACUUCUCUAGACGAGUGACGUGUUGUGAUAACUCCGUAAUGAAUAUCGUUUGGCUUUGCAAUUAAUUGCGUUUAAUAAGAUUUAAACUCAAUUUGAAGAUUUAUUGUUUCAUCUCGUAGUAACGAACUCUAGUCUAGAGUUUGAUUAGGUAUUCAUUAAAAUGUUGUUUACGAAAAA